AGGAUUAACGCUGGCGGCGUGCAUGAAACAUGCAAGUCGAGCGCGGUGUGAUGCGGGGUAACCCAAUUCACAUCUAGCGGCGAACGGGUGAGUAACACGUGAGCAACCUACCUUUGAGUUGGGGAUAGCCCUGGGAAACCAGGAUUAAUACCCGAUGUGGUCACAACAGGACAUCCUGAUGUGAGUAAAGGCGUAAGCCGCUCAAUGACGGGCUCGCGGCCUAUUAGCUUGUUGGUGGGGUAACGGCCUACCAAGGCGAUGAUGGGUAGCUGGUCUGAGAGGAUGAUCAGCCACACUGGGAUUGAGAACGGCCCAGACUCCUACGGGGGGCAGCAGUGAGGAAUUUUCGUCAAUGGGGGCAACCCUGAACGAGCAACGCCGCGUGCAGGGAGACGCUUUUCGGAGUGUAAACUGCUUUUCUUAGGGACGAGUAAGGACGGUACCUAAGGAAUAAGCCCGGCUAACUACGUGCCAGCAGCCGC
RNAcentral lists this ribosomal RNA (482 nucleotides) under uncultured bacterium. RNAcentral describes it as "SSU rRNA". It matches the Rfam family "Bacterial small subunit ribosomal RNA", at positions 26 to 518 of the family's 1533-position model. The record is from RNAcentral.